UACUGAGAAGCACAAAACUGGGCACAGUACUCCAGAUGUAGCUUCAUCAGUGCCAGGGAAACAGCUGAAGGGCCCAGCCCAGGGCAGAACAUUAAGUGCAACCAGCUGCAUUCCCUGGUUCAGGGAGCUCUGCCACAGGCAUCAGAACUGCUGGACUGAUAUUGUCAAACAAAGUGAAGACAUUGGGUGGAAACCAAGACACCAAAGAUGAAGUCAAUAUUAAACUACAUAAUGUGUAAAACAAGCAUGCAAACAGAAGAGGUUUUUUGAAGACCAUAAGAAAACCUGACAUUUGCCUCAGACCUGAAAGACACACAGCUGCUGUUUGUCCCCUCUCCUCCAUGCUGUUUUGACAGAAGACUGUGCCAUGAAUUGGGACAGGGAACUGGUAUGGAAGAAAACGAGAAAACACUCUGAAACUAAAAAGUGGAAAUGUCCACAGAUGCUUGAUGCCAUGACCACUUCCCCAGGGAGCCUGUUCCAGUGACAAACCACCCUCUCAGAGAAGAACAUUUUACUAGUGUUCAAUCUGAACCUCCCCUGAUGCAGCUUCAUUCCAUUCCACACGUCACCGGAGAGAGAUCAGCACCCAUUCUUCACUGCCCACCUUGAGGAAGUUGCAGGCUGCAAUGUUAAAACUGAACCACAUUGCUGUUCAUAAAAUGACAAGUUUAGCCAUUUA
This is a long non-coding RNA of Pipra filicauda (Wire-tailed manakin), 682 nucleotides long. RefSeq lists it as uncharacterized. The transcript is spliced from 5 exons. Lineage: Eukaryota; Metazoa; Chordata; Aves; Passeriformes; Pipridae. The record is from RefSeq and is a predicted model, not a curated record.